RNAcentral lists this unclassified non-coding RNA (1193 nucleotides) under Hevea brasiliensis (rubber tree). Lineage: Eukaryota; Viridiplantae; Streptophyta; Magnoliopsida; Malpighiales; Euphorbiaceae. The record is from RNAcentral.
CAUGCAAACCUUGCACUGCAUUCAGUUUUCCAUGAGACACAGGAUGCAGUAUCAGAGGAGUCCGCGACACCAACAAAGGAGAGAGCAUCAAAAACAGAUCAUCACAACCUUUGUAAAAGGAAAGAUCAAAUUGUCUCUAUUGUGCUAAUAGCUAGAAAAUUAAAAAACAACAAAAUCCAACAGAGAAAAAAGAACUGCACUGAACAGUUCUAACUUCCAAUAUGGAUCAGAAAAAUGAACAUCAAAUAUAAAUCAGAAAUAGAACUCUUUAACUUCUCAGCAUUUGAAUACCCCAAAUAAGUGGUUGUCUAAUGUUUGCAACCAUAUAUAGUUUUGAUUAUUAUGAAUUACCUCUUGAGUUGAGAAAUAUUGUUAUUAUGUGUCUAAGCACAGAUCAUAUAUCCAAAUAACACAAAAAAAAAAUCAAUGCAAAUUCAACCUCCUAUAAGGUGUAAGAAAAGCCAAUCCCAACUUGCUACAAUUUUAAACUCCUAACUUGACAAGUUAUGACAACACCUUUCGAAAAAAAAGAAAAAAGAAAAUAUAAAAAAAGAUGCAUUGACAAAGGUACAUCUCACUUGUGAAGGGUAACCUUACAAAUUAACAUAUUUCUGAAACGUACAUUCAACAGAUUUUUAAGAUGGAGUAGAAAUGCAUUCAUUUCACGAACUAUACCCAACUACCUGUGGCUGUAUAACAGGCUCCAGAACAAGAACAGUUAAAUUUGUAUGCAUAUGCAUAUAACUGAAGUGCAUGAAACUAAUGAAUUGUAAAAAUUAACCACCAUAAACAUGUAACAGUUCAAACACAAAAUGACACUUCGGUAAUUGACGUUCAUGAUUAUGUCACUGUCCUUGUUCCUCGACUAAAAGGAGAAGAAAAUUUUUUAACACAAUUCCCAUUUGAAUAAACAAAUUAAAAAAAUCCAUAAGAGUAGGACAAAUUUUGAGACAUACAUCAAUACUGUUCCUAUAGGAUUGAGGAACAAAAAGACUUGUUUUAACACUACCAUAAGAAUCAAAGAUCCUAGCUAGUUCAAGAAAAUUUCAGCAAAAAGCAAAAAGAACUAAAUUCCUAACUUUCUCAUUCCUCAAAAAAACUUUCAGUAAUCUAAUUACUGAUAAGAAACCAGUCAGCAACAAAGCAAGAAUAUAAUCAAUCAAUCCCAUUUUCAAUAAUAAUAAUAAUAAUAA